This 430-nucleotide ribosomal RNA is filed under the name Bacteroidota bacterium. RNAcentral describes it as "Bacteroidetes bacterium partial 16S ribosomal RNA". It matches the Rfam family "Bacterial small subunit ribosomal RNA", at positions 355 to 776 of the family's 1533-position model. Lineage: Bacteria; Pseudomonadati; Bacteroidota. The record is from RNAcentral.
UAGGGAAUCUUCGGCAAUGGGGGGAACCCUGACCGAGCAACGCCGCGUGAGUGAAUAAGGUUUUCGGAUCGUAAAGCUCUGUUGUUAAGGAAGAACGAGUGUGAGAAUGGAAAGUUCAUACUGUGACGGUACUUAACCAGAAAGGGACGGCUAACUACGUUCCAGCAGCCGCGGUAAUACGUAGGUACCGAGCGUUGUCCGUAUUUAUUGGGCGUAAAGCGAGCGCAGGCGGUCAAUUAAGUCUGAUGUGAAAGCCCCCGGCUCAACCGGGGAGGGUCAUUGGAAACUGGUUGACUUGAGUGCAGAAGAGGGGAGUGGAAUUCCAUGUGUAGCGGUGAAAUGCGUAGAUAUAUGGAGGAACACCAGUGGCGAAGGCGACUCGCUGGUCUAUAACUGACGCUGAGGCUCGAAAGCGUGGGUAGCAAACAGG